ACUCCUACGGGAGGCAGCAGUGGGAAUAUUGCACAAUGGGCGCAAGCCUGAUGCAGCCAUGCCGCGUGUAUGAAGAAGGCCUUCGGGUUGUAAAGUACUUUCAGCAGUGAGGAAGGUGGGUGUGUUAAUAGCGAUACUUCAUUGACGUUAGCUGCAGAAGAAGCACCGGCUAACUCCGUGCCAGCAGCCGCGGUAAUACGGAGGGUGCGAGCGUUAAUCGGAAUUACUGGGCGUAAAGCGCAUGCAGGCGGCCUUGUUAAGUCAGAUGUGAAAGCCC
Molecule: ribosomal RNA, 277 nt
Filed under: uncultured bacterium
Lineage: Bacteria
Description: partial 16S ribosomal RNA
Rfam family: Bacterial small subunit ribosomal RNA
Source: RNAcentral